AGAUUGAACGCUGGCGGAAUGCUUUACACAUGCAAGUCGAACGGCAGCACGGGGGCAACCCUGGUGGCGAGUGGCGAACGGGUGAGUAAUACAUCGGAACGUGCCCAAUCGUGGGGGAUAACGCAGCGAAAGCUGUGCUAAUACCGCAUAAGAUCUACGGAUGAAAGCAGGGGAUCGCAAGACCUUGCGCGAAGUGGAGCGGCCGAUGGCAGAUUAGGUAGUUGGUGAGGUAAAGGCUCACCAAGCCUUCGAUCUGUAGCUGGUCUGAGAGGACGACCAGCCACACUGGGACUGAGACACGGCCCAGACUCCGUACGGGAGCAGCAGUGGGGAACUUUGGACAAGUGGGCGAAAGCCUGA
RNAcentral lists this ribosomal RNA (360 nucleotides) under uncultured soil bacterium. Its description in RNAcentral is "bacterial SSU rRNA". It matches the Rfam family "Bacterial small subunit ribosomal RNA", at positions 26 to 386 of the family's 1533-position model. The record is from RNAcentral.